UGCGAGUGCAGAACUCAAAAGCCAGCAAUAGUGUGUGCGUGUGAACACAGCACAAAGGCUUUCCCUCUGAUUCGGACUGCUGUUUUGCUUGAGUCAAGACGGAAACAUUGCCACACUCAGUGCCUGUUCACUCAGGAGAUAUUCACUCAUGAAGGUGUUGCCCUACUUAGCUGUUACUCACUUCACUGCAUUAGGCCUAAUGCCUACACCUCAGAGCAUUCACAGUUUGUAAUUGGUGCACAGUGUCUCUCAGACUGUUAAAGGUGUCAUAGGUGAUGAAGUGAUGUUACCGUGUUCAUUUGAACAGAACGAACACCUGUUAAAGGUUGUGUUUUGGCGGAACAAACUUGAAAAUUCGGUGUGUGACAUCAUUGUUGGUAAGGCUGAUUGCCAGGAUGAGGAUCAAGACUACAAAGGCAGAGUUAAAAUUUUUCCAUCAGGACCAAAAGAGGGAAAUUUCUCCAUCCGGCUGCAGAACCUGAAGGGAACUGAUGCAGGAACUUACACCUGCCAGACCCCUAGCAAAGACCAUAUACAUGAAAUAGAAUUGGUGGUGCAAGAGAAACAAACCACAACGGAGAGAGACAAACAAAUCACCAAACUGAAUACAGUCUCACCAACUAGUGAAUCCACAAGCAAGCGAGGAGAUGGUCUGUUAAUGCUCAUCCUGAUAUGCGCUCUACUCUGUAUAAACUUCUAAAUAUUUGCUUGAUGUUUUACAAAAGUAAUAUUAGCUAUGCAAAGUGCAUUGUACAAUUGUGUUACAUGUGCUGCAGCUUUAUAAGCACUGCGCUUGCUUUAGCACCUUACUGUAUUUAUGUUGGCUUGACACAGCUUAUAUACUAGGGACGGGGUUCAGCAGUCUGCAAUUCUGUAAUCCUUUUAACAGAGUUUUAGGAGUAAUUAAAUGUAGUGCAUUCGUUAUAACAUUAGUUUUUCCACUUGAAAACCAAGUGCAGCAUUUAAGCACUAAAACUAACUUCAAAUACAAGAGUUUAACAUUUAACCUCAAUUUACAGUAAAUUAAACACAAAGCUACACUGUUACUAAGCAACGCGUAUCUCAGUCAUCCACCAGAAUUAUUAUAUCUAAACUUGGCAAAUAAUUCACUCCUAUCAAAUGGGAUGAAUAUGUGUGAAUACUUUAGAGAGCACCACCUGUAUGAUCAUUAAAAAAAGGAGACAUUUGACCUCCUCAGAUGCCUUUAAAGCCUCAGAUGCCUUCAAAGGGAUGAAACUCAAUUUGACAGGGGAUCGUGUGGGUCGGGAGGGUGCAGGGACGAGGGCUGUGCGGCUUCUAACAUGAGCACGUAGAGCGUCUAAUGCAUGUGAAAUUUUGGUCUAUUUGCACUUGUGUUGUGAAUCUUGUGUAAGCAUGGAGGCUUUAUAUAUAUA
Clarias gariepinus (North African catfish) is the source of this 1394-nucleotide long non-coding RNA. RefSeq lists it as uncharacterized. Lineage: Eukaryota; Metazoa; Chordata; Actinopteri; Siluriformes; Clariidae. The transcript has 3 exons. The record is from RefSeq and is a predicted model, not a curated record.